Molecule: ribosomal RNA, 3135 nt
Filed under: Ambystoma mexicanum (axolotl)
Lineage: Eukaryota; Metazoa; Chordata; Amphibia; Caudata; Ambystomatidae
Description: eukaryotic LSU rRNA
Rfam family: Eukaryotic large subunit ribosomal RNA
Source: RNAcentral
AACCUCAGAUCACACUUGGUUAGCCACUGAAUUUGAGCAUAUUACUAAGUGGAGGAAAAGAAGUAUUCCCUCAGUAACAUGAGUGAGCCCAGCAGUGAAUCGCCAUCCAGUAGCGGGCACGGGAAAUGUGAUGUACAGCAGACUGACUCAUUAGCAUCACUCAGGGGCCCAAAAACUUCUGAUUGAGGCGCACCCCACAGACGUUUUAGGCUGGUAGUGGCCCCGUAAAUGGGUCUCGUCUAAGUCAGGUUGCUUGGGAAAGCAGCCCAAAGCAGGUGAUAAACUCCACCUAAGGCUAAAUAUGGGCACGAGACCAAUAGCCAACACGUUUGCAAGGUGAAAGUUGAAAAGCACUUUGAAGAUAGUGUCCAAGGUGUGAAACAGUCAAGAGAUAAACGGAUGGGGUCCCGUGCAGUCUGUUAGGUCGGUCACCCGGAAUGGCGGAUCCCCUUGCAUUCCUCCAUGGCUGUGUACUGCAACUGGCUCCGCAUCGGCUGGGAACAACCCAGAGGUAGGUGGCUCUCUGCUCUGUGGAAAGUGUUAGAGCCCCCUUGCUGCAGUUUUGCCAUGUUUGCGGGUCAUAGGGAGUUGUUAGCCGCUCUGCCCUCUUCUGGCAACUGUCCCGGUCUCUAUCAGGGGUCACCAGGGCGGUGACGUGGUACAGGGCCCUCUGCUUCCGGGUGACUUUCAACUGGGGUAGACUGUCCUCAGUGCGCCUUACCAUGUUGCGCCAAAGGUGGGAGGCCCACGAAGGUGCCAGGUGUCUGCAAUGAUGUCAGUUUCCCGCCCGACCAGUCUUGAAACACUGACCAGGGAUUCCAACAUGUGGACAAGUCGGAGGACUGAAUGAAACCCUGUGAUGCAAUGAUGGUGAGGGCUGGCACAGCAGGAACAUCACUGACCCUCCUUGCCCACUCUGUCGGGGAGGUGCAGCAUGAGCAUGUGUCGGAGGACCAGGAAGAUGGUGAACUAUGCCUUUGCAUGGAAAAGCCAGAGGGAACUCUGGUGGAGGUCUGUAGGAGUCUUGGCGUGCAAUUUGGUCAUCCAACCUGGAUAUAGGGGUGAAGACUAAUCAAACCAUCUAGUAGCUGGUUCCCUCAGCAUAGUGUUACUCAGAAACCCCCAUUUUAUCUUGUAAAGUGAAUGAUUGGAGGUCUUGGGACAAAAUGAUCUCAACCUAUUCUUAAUCUUUAAAUGGGUAAGAAGACCUCCUCACUGCCGUGGAGACAGGCAUCAAAUGCAAGUGUCCGGGGGUUACUUUUGGUAAGCAGAACUCGUGCUGCAGGAUGAACUGAAUGCCGGGUUAAGGCACACUAUUGUGAUGCUCAUUAGACCCCAGAAAAGCUGUUGGUUGAUAUAGACAGCAGGACAGUGGCUAUGGAAGUCAGAAUCUGCUAAGGAGUGUGUAACAACUCACCUGCCAAAUCAACUAGCCCUGAAAAAGGAUGAGGCUGGAGCGUUGGGCCGAUAUCCGGCCAUCCCCAGCGUUGAGAGCUGCAGGGCUCAGCCGUGACGAGUAAGGGGGCUGCACAGUAUGCACAGACAUCCAGGGCAAGGACAGAGGUUGAGCAAAUAUUCAAACAAGAACUUUGAAGGCGGAAGUGGAGAAGAAUCCCAUAUGAACAGCAGUUCAACAUGGUCAGUCGUUCCUAAGAGAUGGGAGUGCACCAAGUGGAAGGGAUGGGUGAUGGCCUUUGUUGCCCUCAGCCAAUCGAAAGGGAGUCGGGUUAAGCUCACCAAACACAUAGAGGAAGAGAUGGGUGCCAUUGCUGCAUCCAGUGUGGGUAACGCAAAAGAUUCUGAAGAAGUCAGCGGGAGACCCGGGGAGAGUUCUCUUUCUUUGUGAAGGGUAUGGAAGCCUGGAAUGGGUUAUGCCCGAGAGAGGGGCCUGAACCUUGUAAAGCAUUGCGGUUCAGGCAGUGUCAGGUGGGCUCCUGAUGGUUCUUGAAAAUGCGGGGGAAAUGGUGUAAAUCUCGCUCCGGGCCUUACCAUAUCUGCAGCAGGUCCCAAGGUGAAUAUCCUCUGGGAUGUUCUAACAAUAUAGGUAUGGGAAAUCGGCAAGUCAGAUCUGUCAUUUUUGGAUAAGGAUUGCCUCUAAGGGCUGGGUUGGUUGAAAUGGGGCACAAAGCAAAACUGGGCACAAGCAGCUGCUGGGCGAGGCAUCCUCCCUUUUGGGGAAGUGCCGACUAUGCAUGUGAGUCAGGUCCUUUUUGUGGAACGCCCCUACUGCAGUGGUCUCCUCUUUCCAUUCCCCUCUGGGGUUCGAAUCCAGUGUUCUGCCUCGGCUGAUGCCGAGCAGCUGACUUACAACUAGUGCGGACCAGGGGAACAUAUGUGUUUAAUUAAAACAAAGCAUCACUAAGGCCCAUGCAGGGUGUUGGCUCAAUGUGAUUUCUGUCCAAUGCUCUCUAUGUCAAAUUGAAGAAAUUCAAUGAAGCACAGGUAAACGGCGGGAGUAACUAUGGCUCUCUUAAUCAAUAGAAAUGCCUUCUCAUCUAAUUAGUUAUGCACAUGAAUGGAUGAACGAGAUUCCCACUGUCCCUACCAUCUAUCUAAUGAAACGACAGCCAAGGGAACAGGCAAGGCAGAUUCAGUGGGGAAAGAAGACAGAGUUGCGCUUCACUCUAGUCAGGCACUGUGAAGAGACAUGAGAGGUGUAGGAUAAGUGGGAGGCCUUCUGCCUACCGGUGAAAUACCACUACUUACCCGAGGAGGUGGGGGUGAGCCCCAUUGGGCUCUUGCUCAUUACAUUUACUUUACUUUAAUACAUUUGUAAUGGGACCCAUGACCCGGGGUACACAGACAAAAAAUAAACUACAAAGAAAGCAAAAUAAAAAACAAACAUUAAACAGUACACAAUAUGAACAUAGAACACUAUAGACCCUAGCAUAUCCCUAACCACAGACAAUUUAGCCCUUUUUCUAAACAGUAGGAUCUUCAAUGUUUUUCUAAAAAUUGCUUUUUAUAUGUCAAGGCUCGUAGGUCCGGGUCAAGGUAUUCCAAGCCUUUGGUGCUGCCGAAAAGAACACACAUUUUAAGACCUGCGUCAACUUAUAUGCCAGUGUUUCAAGCUGAUUAGUAUUGUAAGACCCGUGAGACCUGACACUUACUGUCAGACACACUGCUUCACACAGG